This 218-nucleotide unclassified non-coding RNA is filed under the name Hevea brasiliensis (rubber tree). Lineage: Eukaryota; Viridiplantae; Streptophyta; Magnoliopsida; Malpighiales; Euphorbiaceae. The record is from RNAcentral.
GAGCUCAUGGAGGAUGCCACUUUGGCAGAAAUCUAAGAUGUAUUUCUGCGAGAUAAAUCAUCUUGAAGCUGCAGAACAGAAUGUCAUUGGAGAUCAUGCUGGUGGAGAGAUUGAAGUAGAGAAGGUUCCCAUUCAAGAGGUUGAAAUUAGGCGGAAGAAUUUAUUACCUGUUUUUGACCAUUUCCACAGAACUUUCUCUACUUGGAAUCAUAGGGGCC